This is a long non-coding RNA of Sparus aurata (gilthead seabream), 3436 nucleotides long. NCBI's taxonomy places the organism in Eukaryota, Metazoa, Chordata, Actinopteri, Spariformes, Sparidae. The record is from Ensembl.
AAAAUGAAGAUCCAGAUUCUCCUGCUGGCCUGUGCUUUUGUGGCUGCGAUCAUUGCCGCACCAUCAGCAGAUGAUUCUGCUAAACCCAAAGCCAUCCAUGAUGAGGUUAAAGCUGAUGUGCCAAAGUCAAAUCUGGACGCUGCUGGGGUGAAGGAGCCCAACAUGGAGGACGACUUAGAAGAUGAUGAGGUCAACAUGGAGGAGGAUUCUGAGGAUGAUAAACCCAACAUGGACGAGGAUUCCGAAGCUGAUGAGCCCGACAUGGAUGAGGAUACCGAAGAUGAUGAGCCCGACAUGGACGAGGAUUCCGAAGAUGAUGAGCCCAAGAAAGAUGAGCCUGAGAACACUAUAGGUGUUUUACUGAGGCUCUUAUCAAACCUUCCGAAGUGAUAUUCAGCAUCACGGGUGUCGACAUGAUGACCACCACGACAUGCUAACGCAUUAAAACCAGCUGAGGCGAUGUCUUACAGUGAUGGGAUCAAAUAAAAGCUUUUCACAUGCCGAAAUGAAAUAUUUGCCAGAGUGUCAUCAUUUGUAUUUUCUUGUGCUUUUCACUCAAUAACUGUUUUUCUGUGUAAUUAUACUGUGCAGUACUUUUACAUCUGCUACCCUAAAAGGUAGCAUUUUCUGUAUCUUUGCUAUAUUUUGAUUCCCACAACCCUGAAAUUAAUCCAAAAUGUAUUCUAAAAGGUGUCCAUUAAAUUAAACAUAUACAGUGCUGUGAAAAAGUAUUUGCUCCCUUACAGAAUUAUUUUGUUAUUGCUUUUUUGUCACACUUGCAUUUUUCAGAUCAUCAAAGAAAUUUUGAUAUUAGACAAAGAUGACCUUAGAAAAUACAAAAUACAGUUUUUAAAUGACGAUUUCCUGGCCCUGUGUGAAAAAGUGAUUGCCCCCUAAACCUAAUGACUGGUUGUGCCACCCUUUGGCGGCAACUACUGCAAUCAAGCAUUUGCACGUGAUUCCUAGGAACUAAAACUGUUCCACCUCAGCUCCACUGAUGUAGACAGGGAAGUGUGUCUUUGAGUCCAUUUUUUAAAAAUCAACAAUCAGCUCCGUGGUUUUUUGCCGAUGUUGAACAGUUGAUUGUUCUCUGUGCACCAGUCUGCAUGAUAGUUGAUUUCCUCCCGAUAGGAACUCUCAUCCUUGUUUGUAAUGUGGCCAACGAUGGUGGUGUCAUCCGUGUACUUCACUUUAAAGUUCUCUUGAUGCCUGGGAGCGCAAUCAUGGGUGUACAGUGUAAACAGUAGGUGGGGGAGCACAUAGCCCUGGAUGGCUCCAGUGCUGAGUGCUAGAGUAAAGAAGGUCUGGCUGCCAAUCUGUACCUUCUGGGUUCUACAUGUGAGGAAGUCUAAAUAUCCAUUUGCAAAGAGUAGCAGUCAAGCCCAGUGUCUGAAGUUUUCCAAUGAGCCUCAUGGGUGAGCUUGUAUUCAAUGCUGAGCUAAAGUCAACAAACAGCAUUCUGAUGUAGCUGCUUUUAUUUUCAAGUUGUGUGAAAACUGAGUGGAGGGCAGUGGAUAUGGCAUCCUCUGUGGAUCUGCUGGUUCUGAAAGCAUACAGGUGAGGGUUCAGGCUGGCAGGGAAGUUGUUAGUAAAAAUGUCAGUAAUGACAUGAGUUUGCUUAUUGACAGAUGUGAGUCUUCUCACAUCUGCUGUGGUUAGCUGUUGAGUAGAUCGAAGCAAGCAUAAAAUGUGUGUAGCUCAUGUGGCCUCAAACAUGAUUGGGGCGCUCCUCCUUAUGUAGGCUGUGACAUUUUGAAUCACCGGCCACAUAUCUUUAGUGCUAUUGGUGAUGUGUUCUCUGAAGAGAGCCGUCUCUUAAAUUUGACUAUUUUCAUUAGUCUUUGGCCAGGACAUUUUGAAUGGAUUUCACGUGAGCCACACAGUGAGCAAACAUAGUGAGUAAUCCCUGUGGGAUAUGUGACCAGAAGCAUGUCCCUCCAGAGAGAUGUUUGGAGAAGAAACAGGUUUAUGAUAGGAGAUUCACUUUUGGUGAUGUGUAUUUACCUCAGAGUCAUUUUGGGUCAUUUUGUCCAACAAAAAUACUCAUCAACUAGUGACACUUUGGGGUGGCAGCCGACCAGACCUACAAUUCCAAAGCAUCAGUGUUCGACAAUUUGGGAAUGAUACUCAGAAAUCCAUUAAUCUUACAAAUUGGACCUUUAACUUUGGACUUCAGUUGGUAAUGCAGUAUUUUGACAGACACUUUUACCAAAUCAUAGUUGUGCAUCCUCGCUGUAAUCGCAAGUAGGAUUCUUUUAAAGUUGUGAAACCAAUGUUUGUAUAAUUUCAAUUAAAAUCAAAUGUCACAAUAUUUUUCACCAAAUACCUUGAGAUUGAUACUGCAACAAUAUUGUAGGGAUGACAACUGGUACUUUCGCAAAAUAUGAACAGAGUGACAUUUGCCCUGGAGCAUGUUUGUCACAGACCAGCAAAACACGUGGAAACUUUUCAUUGGUUGAGCUUUGUACUGGUUUGACGUGUGUGGCUCCUUUGGAAAAAAGUGAUGUCAUGUAACUCUGUGCACCAAGUUAUGUUGCUUCUAUUGCCCAGCCGAUGUCCAUCAAAUCUGAUCAGAACACACACCUACAGACUCGUUAUGAAGUGGCUUUUUUUCCAAACACUAUCUUUGAUUGAUGCUCCUUGACACAGAAUAGUUUAUUGUCAUAUGCUAAAAACCUUGGGUUGGCUACUCGGAGUUAAUGUCAGUAUUUGAAGGCCUCAGGAUGAGACUUUACAGUUGUUGUCAUGAACUGAAUCUGACAAAGUCAAGACAAAAUUUGCCAAAUUUUUGGUCUAUAUCACAAUACAUGAUAUAUAUCUGAAUAUUUUGACCUCUCCUCAGAAGGACUUCAUAAAAGUUGCAACUAGGCGACAAAAUCAAAUAUCACAAUAUUUUUGACUUAACAUCUCAAUACUGAUAUUGCAGCAUCUUUGUGCGAAUGACUGCUGGUACUUUUAUAAAAUACAAACACAAUGACAUUUGCCUUAGAGCAUGUUUGUCACAGACCAGCAAAACAUGUGGUGACUUUUCAUUGGAUGAGCUUUGUUGAUGAACAAACAUUCUUAGCUCAGAAGUACAUAUAUAUUGAAGGUGCAUCAGUUGGAAAGUCAAAACACUCCUGACUUGAGUUGAAGUUCUGUGGACCUGAGAGCUACUGAAAACUGAAGGUAAAUACAGCACCUUUGUUUUACUCUUUAUUCAGACCCACAGACUGAACAGCAUCUGUUGCUAACUACUCACGGACCAUUUCACAGUAUUUUUGUACAUUUUGAUGUUUCCUUUCAGAUAAUGAAGAUCCAGAUUCUCCUGCUGGCCUGUGCUUUUGUGGCUGUGAUCAUUGCCGCACCAUCAGCAAAUGAUUCUGCUAAACCCAAAGGUAACUAGAUGAUAAACUCUGAUGUCAUGUAUCAAGGAGUAUAUGCACCAUAUAUCAUA